AUGAACGCUGGCGGCGUGCCUAAUACAUGCAAGUCGAGCGAACGGACGAGAAGCUUGCUUUUCUGAUGUUAGCGGCGGACGGGUGAGUAACACGUGGAUAACCUACCUAUAAGACUGGGAUAACUUCGGGAAACCGGAGCUAAUACCGGAUAAUAUUUUGAACCGCAUGAUUCAAAAGUGAAAGACGGUCUUGCUGUCACUUAUAGAUGGAUCCGCGCUGCAUUAGCUAGUUGGUAAGGUAACGGCUCACCAAGGCAACGAUGCAUAGCCGACCUGAGAGGGUGAUCGGCCACACUGGAACUGAGACACGGUCCAGACUCCUACGGGAGGCAGCAGUAGGGAAUCUUCCGCAAUGGGCGAAAGCCUGACGGAGCAACGCCGCGUGAGUGAUGAAGGUCUUCGGAUCGUAAAACUCUGUUAUUAGGGAAGAACAUAUGUGUAAGUAACUGUGCACAUCUUGACGGUACCUAAUCAGAAAGCCACGGCUAACUACGUG
Molecule: ribosomal RNA, 496 nt
Filed under: uncultured bacterium
Lineage: Bacteria
Description: partial 16S ribosomal RNA
Rfam family: Bacterial small subunit ribosomal RNA
Source: RNAcentral